UGGCGGGACGCGGCACCCGCGGACUACGCGCGCUCCCGGGAAAUGUCCAUGACAACAAAUUCCCCUGAUAUUUUGGCUUCAGACUAUAUAAUACCUACAGAGAUGAGUCGUGUGAAAUUCUAGCAUGCCAGUAUGGUCCAAGGUCACCCUGGGUUCAGGUGUCAGUAAGAGGAUCUACUUGACGAAAUCUCCAAGGCAAGAACCUCCCAAGGAAUCUUGACUUCUCGAGGCUACAGACAAAUCUGUGCAAAGUAGCAUGGAGAGAGCCAACCACUUCAGGUGCUCUUGCCUGGGAGUGCUUGUACUGCGGAGUCUGGAGAGUUGUUCCCGGGCAGCAGAGCCAUGCUGAGGCUUGAGGGAGUACUCUGGCCACUGACUACUGGGACAGGGAGAACAGAAGAGAAGCUUAUUGCGCAGAAGAAAUUGGACCCAGAAGAGGAGCAGAGGGAGCUGCUGGGCCCAGGGGGCAGGCACGGCGCUGGAGCCAGGCUCGCCCAGGCCGGGAUGUGCAGCAGAGCGCAGAAGAAAUUCCAAAGAGUGAGAGAAGAGCUGUCCAGGGGCUUUUCAGCUGACCUUUCCCCCUCCCCCACCAUGGCAGGGGAGAGGCGGUGGCAGGUUGGCUGAACCUCCAACUGAGCAGGUUGGACUCCUGCAGCAACUCGGAGUGAGGCAGCGGCAGGCAGAGAGCCCGGACAUUCCUCUGUGUCCAGUCCGGCCCAGGACACCAGGGCAGAGGGAGCCACAGCAAGCCGGGUGGGUUGGAGUGCACCCUCACCCGGGAGCGGAGCAGAGCAGAGUGGAGAGGAGGAGCACAGCCAGCGCAACUACCACCGCCGCUCAAGAUUAUGACUUGAAGAGAGAGAGAGAGAGAGAAGUUACACUGAAGCAGGUUUUUCUGGGUAGGACUUUUAUGAAAACUAUCGGAGUAUAGAGACUGAGCCAAACCCCAGAACCUGCGACCCGGGGGAGGAGUGGACCCGACUUGGAGGAGUCCCUUGAGAACUUACUCCCCUGAGAGGGACCCCAUGUAGCAGGAAAAGGACUCAGAGCUUUAACUCCCUGUAACCCAUGGUGAAGAUCAUGGUGGAGCGGGUUGUCUCCCCACAGUCCAUGAAGGACCAUCAGGGGGUGCAGAGACCCCCCGCACCCCGAUGAAGAGAGCCUUUAGCUACACCCUGACAGUUCUUCUCCUGCAUUGAUUCAGGGGGCCGAGGGGUGGUUAAAAAGUGUGUUUAAUACUAUGUACUUUAUUACUUUUUAGUUUCUAUCCUGUUAGCAAUAAACUUUGAUAUU
Lepidothrix coronata (blue-crowned manakin) is the source of this 1293-nucleotide long non-coding RNA. RefSeq lists it as uncharacterized. The record is from RefSeq and is a predicted model, not a curated record. The transcript is spliced from 4 exons. NCBI's taxonomy places the organism in Eukaryota, Metazoa, Chordata, Aves, Passeriformes, Pipridae.